AUUGAACGCUGGCGGCAAGCCUAACACAUGCAAGUCGAACGAGUGGCGGACUGGUGAGUAAUGUCUGAGAAACUGCCUGAUGGAGGGGGAUAACUACUGGAAACGUUAGCUAAUACCGCAUACCAUCGGAUGUUCCCAGAUGGGAUUAGCUAGUGGGUGGGGUAAAGGCUCACCUAGGCGCCGAUCCCUAGCUGGUCUGAGAGGAUGACCAGCCACACUGGAACUGAGACACGGGCCAGACUCCUACGGGAGGCAGCAGUGGGGAAGAGUGAACAAUGGGCGAAAGUCUGAUGCAGCCAUGCCGCGUGGAUGAAGAAGGCUUUCGGGUUGUAAAGUACUGUCAUCGGGGAGGCGUUACCCGAAGAAGAAGCACCGGCUAACUACGUGCCAGCCGCCGCGGUAAUAC
This 406-nucleotide ribosomal RNA is filed under the name uncultured bacterium. RNAcentral describes it as "partial 16S ribosomal RNA". It matches the Rfam family "Bacterial small subunit ribosomal RNA", at positions 30 to 526 of the family's 1533-position model. The record is from RNAcentral.